AUUCGUCACACUAUCAUUAACUGAAUCCAUAGGUUAAUGAGGCGAACCGGGGGAACUGAAACAUCUAAGUACCCCGAGGAAAAGAAAUCAACCGAGAUUCCCCCAGUAGCGGCGAGCGAACGGGGAGCAGCCCAGAGCCUGAAUCAGUGUGUGUGUUAGUGGAAGCGUCUGGAAAGGCGCGCGAUACAGGGUGACAGCCCCGUACACAAAAAUGCACAU
RNAcentral lists this ribosomal RNA (219 nucleotides) under Escherichia coli. RNAcentral's name for it is "partial 23S ribosomal RNA". It matches the Rfam family "Bacterial large subunit ribosomal RNA", at positions 138 to 392 of the family's 2925-position model. The record is from RNAcentral. Lineage: Bacteria; Pseudomonadati; Pseudomonadota; Gammaproteobacteria; Enterobacterales; Enterobacteriaceae.